AGCAUCACCACGUUUCAAGUAGUAGCAUGGAAAUUUGAGAGUGCUUUUCUAUAGUGACAGAGGAUGUUUUUCUAUCUCCUGAAAGAAUUAGAAGGAUAGAAGUGACAGAGAGGUUAGAUACAAUGAAAACCUUGGACAAAGGAAGAACAUUUAACUCCAGUGACUAAAUUCCUAAUCUGUGCAGUCUGCUAUAAAGACACUACAAAUAAGAUUUUGAUUACUGAAUCAGCCACAAACCACUACAAUUCAAGCACCACUUGCAGGUAGAAGGAGCAUUGAAAGUUUUUCGAAGAGAAAGAGUCCUGGAGGAGAGAGAAAUUUCUCAACAGCAUGGAAGCCAGAUGAUAUCCGUAUGAACAGAGCAGAAGAAACAGCAUGAGGAAAUGUGAUCGUCAGAUGAGUAUAGAAACAUGGAUAAAAUUCAUACAUGAACUAUCCAUUUGUUUAGUGUUUCUUUCAAGAACUCGAGGGGGGGGAAAGGUGGCUUCAUUACAAGUUCUGUACUCACGAACUGUUCUGAAACUUGUCUUCCAGAACCGAUGUCAAAACUUUUAUUCUGCACGCAAGAUUCAGUGUCCUAUUACAGGGUCUCUCUUUCAACCAUUGACAACAGCACUACAAGCUUGCAUUCUGAAACUUCGUGUGACAAUCCGAGACUGUCAGCUGUAUCUGCAGUACUGGGUCAAAACACAGGCAAGAAGCUGGAGAAGACUCUCACCUAGAAAGUAUGGCUCUCAGAGAAAACCAGUAAAUAAAAUCAGCCUCAAAAGGAUGCAGCACAGCGAUCAGUCUUGAGCUACAGGUCCUCUAUUGUUUUAUGGUGGUAUGUCCAUUUCACACCACGUCUCACUUUGUGAUGUUUAUUAAAGAGCUGUAUCAGUGCUUGUACCCUGCACAUGGAAGCGUUCUUUGUUUUUAACUCAAACUUGCUGCCUAGAACCGCAACACCCAGCUUUCCAAUGGGGUUUUCCUCAACUGGAAGCGCAUUAAGCCCAAGCUUUUU
Long non-coding RNA from Anas platyrhynchos (mallard), 1003 nucleotides. RefSeq lists it as uncharacterized. The record is from RefSeq and is a predicted model, not a curated record. Lineage: Eukaryota; Metazoa; Chordata; Aves; Anseriformes; Anatidae.